Molecule: long non-coding RNA, 1599 nt
Organism: Bos taurus (domestic cattle)
Lineage: Eukaryota; Metazoa; Chordata; Mammalia; Artiodactyla; Bovidae
Source: Ensembl
CUCCGGGAGUUGGUGAUGAACAGAGAGGCCUGGCGUGCUGCAGUUCAUGGGGUCGCAGAGUCGGACACGACUGAGCAACUGAACUGCACUGAUGUUUAAAUUUUUACAUAAUGCAAAGUUUUAAAAAAGAAAGAAAACAAUGGAUUGAGGGUGGCAGAUAGCUCUUGUAACACACCUUAUAAGACCAAAGAUGUAAAUCAGGGAAGACCUCACUAAGAAGUUGACACUGGAGCAAAUGCUUGAAGGAGGUAAGGGAGAGGGUUCUGUGGAUCCAGGGAAAGAAGGUCCCAGGCAUAAGCAGGAACUAGAGCAGAGCAUGAGGUGGGAAUGUGCCUGGCAGGGCAUAUUCAAGGAAGAAGGAAGUCCAGCUUUGGGGAAGGAAUGAGCAAUUGAUAAAGUAAUGGGAGGUGGCAUCAGAAAGUUAAACAGGGAUGGGUGGGGAGGAGAGGAAAUGUAUAUCCAGGGCCAAAUGCAACAAACAAUUCACACCAAACCAAAGGAUACCUACAAACCAGGACUUCCCUAGUGGUCCAAUGCCUAAGACUCCGCACUCCCAAUGUAGGGGGCCUGGGUUCAAUCUCUGGUCAAGAAACUAGAUCCCACAUGCUGCAACUGAAGAUCCUGCAUGAUGCAAGGAAGAUCAAAGGUCCCAAGUGAUGCAAAUAAGACCUGGUGCAGCCAAAUAAAUAUUAAAAAAAAAAAAAAAAAGAAUACCUACAAACCAAUAAGAAAAAUGCAGGCAACCCAAAAGAAAAAUAGGCAAAAGACUUGAUUGGGCAUUUCACAGAAAAGAAAAGGGCCAGUAAGCAUAUGAAAAAGUGUUCUACUUGAUUAGGCAUCAGGGAAAUGCAAAUUAAAAUCACAGUGUGUCUUGGUUUCCUCCUCUGAGCUACUGGUGACAACGCCCAGAUGCCCUUACUCCCUCAUCCCAAGCCAAAUAAGAGGCACACAGAGCGCAGUGGAUUGUUAACUUAAAAAAGAGUAGAUGGCAUGUUUUCUCAACUCACAGCUGCAACUUCUACAUUUAAAGAUGCUGAAACUCUGACUCAUGUUCGGAGGACGCUAGUGGAGGAGAGGUGGGUGAGCACCCAUGGCUCAGGGCAGUAGGAAAGCAGAGAGGCUGAAGGCAGAGUCCACCAGCAGUGAGCUCUGUGUGACUGGUCACCAGAAGGGUGCUGUUCACAGAGACUUACAAGCAGAAAACCUGCUCUUGGAUGCGAACACGAACAUCAGACUUUGGCUUCAGCAACAAAUUCACUUUUUUUACAACGAGCUGGACAUCUUCUGGGGUGGUCUCCCUCAUGCUGCCCCAGAACUCUUCCAGGGAAGAACCACAGGAAGUCAUCCUGUCCUCAGUGCGAUGGAUUCUGGCCUUUCCAGGGAUGGAAACUCAAGCAGCUGUAGAUGCAGGUUCUGAGCAGAACACAUCAUAUUCCAUUCUUGACAAAGGAACGUGAAAAUCUGCUAGAGAAAUUUCUUAUCCUCGAUCCCAUCAAGAGAGGCAGUUUAGAGCAGAUUGUGAUGGCUCCGUGGAUUAUUGUGACUCAUGGAUAUGAGCAACUAAAGCUCUCCGUGGAGCCACAAGGACUCUGGGCAGAC